Molecule: ribosomal RNA, 803 nt
Filed under: uncultured bacterium
Lineage: Bacteria
Description: bacterial SSU rRNA
Rfam family: Bacterial small subunit ribosomal RNA
Source: RNAcentral
CUUCGGGUUGUAAAGCUCUUUCANCUGGAACGAAACGGUGCGCUCUAACAUAGCGUGCUAAUGACGGUACCAGCAGAAGAAGCACCGGCUAACUACGUGCCAGCAGCCGCGGUAAUACGUAGGGUGCGAGCGUUAAUCGGAAUUACUGGGCGUAAAGCGUGCGCAGGCGGAUUGUUAAGCAAGACGUGAAAUCCCCGGGCUUAACCUGGGAAUGGCGUUUUGAACUGGCAGUCUAGAGUGUGUCAGAGGGGGGUAGAAUUCCACGUGUAGCAGUGAAAUGCGUAGAGAUGUGGAGGAAUACCGAUGGCGAAGGCAGCCCCCUGGGAUAACACUGACGCUCAUGUACGAAAGCGUGGGUAGCAAACAGGAUUAGAUACCCUGGUAGUCCACGCCCUAAACGAUGUCAACUGGUUGUUGGGGGAGUGAAAUCCCUUAGUAACGAAGCUAACGCGUGAAGUUGACCGCCUGGGGAGUACGGUCGCAAGAUUAAAACUCAAAGGAAUUGACGGGGACCCGCACAAGCGGUGGAUGAUGUGGAUUAAUUCGAUGCAACGCGAAAAACCUUACCUACCCUUGACAUGUCCAGAAUCCUGCAGAGAUGCGGGAGUGCCCGAAAGGGAAUUGGAACACAGGUGCUGCAUGGCUGUCGUCAGCUCGUGUCGUGAGAUGUUGGGUUAAGUCCCGCAACGAGCGCAACCCUUAUCAUUAGUUGCUACGCAAGGGCACUCUAAUGAGACUGCCGGUGACAAACCGGAGGAAGGUGGGGAUGACGUCAAGUCCUCAUGGCCCUUAUGGGUAGGGCU